RNAcentral lists this ribosomal RNA (478 nucleotides) under uncultured bacterium. Its description in RNAcentral is "partial 16S ribosomal RNA". It matches the Rfam family "Bacterial small subunit ribosomal RNA", at positions 28 to 507 of the family's 1533-position model. The record is from RNAcentral.
GAUGAACGCUGGCGGCGUGCUUAACACAUGCAAGUCGAACGAGGAAUGGAGACGGAAACCUUCGGGCGGAAGGCUUCAUUUCGAGUGGCGGACGGGUGAGUAACGCGUGGGUAACCUGCCUCAUACAGGGGGAUAACAGUUGGAAACGACUGUUAAUACCGCAUAAGACCACAGCACCGCAUGGUGCGGGGGUAAAAACUCCGGUGGUAUGAGAUGGACCCGCGUUCGAUUAGCCAGUUGGCGGGGUAACGGCCCACCAAAGCGACGAUCGAUAGCCGAUCUGAGAGGAUGACCGGCCACAUUGGGACUGAGACACGGCCCAAACUCCUACGGGAGGCAGCAGUGGGGAAUAUUGCACAAUGGGGGAAACCCUGAUGCAGCGACGCCGCGUGAGUGAAGAAGUACUUCGGUAUGUAAAGCUCUAUCAGCAGGGAAGAAAAUGACGGUACCUGAGGAAGAAGCCCCGGCUAACUACGUG